AUGGACAUGAGUAUGAGUAGUCUCUGGGCAUUUGUGAUGGACAGGGAGGCCUGGCAUGCUGCAGUCCAUGGGGUCACAAAGAGUCAGACAUGACUAAGUGACUGAACUGAACUGACCUGUUAACCUCUCCCAACCCACUGUAUGUAGUAAUUCUACUGCAUACAAAGGAGUUCAAUACCAAGAACACAUUCAUAAAUCCAGUUCAUUUGUAAGUCCAACAAGGUUAGCCUAGGUACCCAACUAUCAGGAUCAGCUAUAUACUACUGUGUUGUAAUAGGUUUAUAAUACUGUUCACACAAAUAAUACACACAAAGAAACACACAAAAAUAAAAAUAAUGUUUUUAAUCUUACAGUACAAUUCCUUGAAAACUACAGUAAUACAGUACAACAGCUGGCUUACAGGAACUGGCAAGAAGGACAAGUAAGAAGAGUUCCUGAUGGAGUUGAGAGAGGAGGGCAAUGUCUCUCACUCUGUGCUUUUAAACCAGUGAAGAAUGCUCAUUGAUUCUGCCAUGGUGGAGGACAAACUGCCCCAACAGGCAGACGUGCAAGGCCAUUACCACAUGAAACAAGAGUCUGAACAGCACAAGUCAUACAAAGGCUGAUUAAAGGAGAGGUGGGCAUUUGCUUCUCAUAUAAUAGAACAGCCUCUAUUUUCUCCAUUUGCUCCUGCCACAUAAAUAACAUUCAUUGGUGUACUCAGCACAAUGUUAACAAGAGGACUUCUUUUGUGAGGACAUUCAUGUACUCUGAUAGUGAAACAGAAGGGCUUGUUCGUGUAGAAUUUUAUCUAGU
Molecule: long non-coding RNA, 795 nt
Filed under: Bos indicus x Bos taurus (hybrid cattle)
Lineage: Eukaryota; Metazoa; Chordata; Mammalia; Artiodactyla; Bovidae
Description: lncRNA (ENSBIXG00000014622.1)
Source: RNAcentral